RNAcentral lists this long non-coding RNA (2080 nucleotides) under Homo sapiens (human). RNAcentral's name for it is "HSALNT0223928". Lineage: Eukaryota; Metazoa; Chordata; Mammalia; Primates; Hominidae. The record is from RNAcentral.
GGCAACAGAAACUGAUACUCAUCUUGUGCUUCCUGUGUGCCCAGCCACUGCCCAGGUGCUUCUACUUACUGAGCAGGCCAAAACCGGGCUAGGUACAAAGCACAGGGGACACCAGCAAAUGAGACAUGAGACUGGGUGAACAGUGGGGGCACUGGGCUGAGAGUCAGGAGCUCUAAGUGCCAGAUUAAGUUGGCCAUGUCACCUUAAGAAUACUGCAGGAAUGUCAGAAAUGUUCUAGAGACAGACUGAAAGCAGAGGACUCAUAUGACAUCAAGCCUCAAUCUAAGAGAGGCUGUUGUCAAAGCUUACACAGUCAUGAAGAGGAACGGAAAGGAAUUCAAACACUGAAAACUUGAAGAACUACUGAUGAGUGGUGGGUCCUUAAUGAAAUAUCUAAAGCAGUCAGGGACAUUUCAGGUGGACACCAUCCUUAGGAGGCCAGGACCAUGGGGAUAUAACCAUGCUCUCCAUAAAAGGUCCUUUAGAAGCACUGUUUGGCAGAGUACUUGGCUGGCUUAUCAGUAUCAAUGAAAUAAUUUCCUUUCAAACCAACUGGACUACAAAGACCUACCAUUCACAAGGAACACAAAAAGCCCAACAGUAUCCAGAAAUGUAAACUGAGCAAGGAAGAACAACAGGAGAUACAGCUACAAUGAAUCUAGGCUUUGUUCUCUAACAAGGGUGGACCCUGUCAAUCAUAUAAGAAAGGAGAUCCUGCCUGAGCUACAAGGCUGAACAAAAGGAAGCAAAAACCCACCAUCCGGACAUAGAAGCCAACACUUGAGUCAAAGUCUUUUCAGGGAAUUGGACAGUAUCUGAGUGGCUAUAUAUGUGGUUGUCUUCAAUCCAGAGCCUCCUUAUGUCUUUUGUUUUGUUGCAAUGCGGACAUCUCUUACAGUAAGCAAACUUUUAGGGAAUGUGUGUUUCUCUGCAAAAUGACACCAUAAUUAGAGACAGACUAUUCCUCCUCAGCCUUAGCCAAUGAGCUCGUGUGGCCUGCCCAAGUGUCGUGAGUCGGGGGGGAAUCGUCCUGCUCUGUAAAUAUUUUCAUUCAAUGUAAACAAAACACAGUUGCAAAUCUUUUAACCAUUCAGCUAAUUAAUGUUCUGAAUUACUGCCUAUAAAAUACUCUCUAUAAAUCAUCAGUAACAAGAAGAAUCACAUUACUAUUAACAGGCAGUAUUUUUCCAGGUACCCAAAGUUAUAAAAUUAGUAAAACAGCAAUGGCCCAGGCUAAAAGCAGUGCAAAUCAGCAGUUAAUCCUUGAUUCUGACCUGCUUCCUUUUGGUACACUAAUUUUACAGUCAGUUUCUGAUACCUGCUGUCCUCUAGUAAUGCUCACCAUGAGCUAAAGUUGGCUACUGAACUCAGUUAGGUGAAAGCUCCCAUCAGUUACCAACUUCCGAGGUCAACACUAGCUUUUUGAAGGAUGCUGAGGAAAAUGGGCAUAUUGGUACCAAAGGGCCCAUGCCAACAAUUACAAUUCUUUCAUAUCCCAUUUUUAGCAUAUGAUUCAUAGUUACCAACCACAUACUGUAAGAGUCAGAAGUGCAUGCAUCAAGAAAAGGAGAACUGGGGGAAUGUCAUAUACAGAGGAACAGGAAUGGGUAUGUGUAUGUUACGCUGGAGAACAGACAGGUGGGUGACCAAGGAAUACUAUCAACUUAGGUUUUAUUACUUAGAAAAAGUUCAGAAUAGAGGUAAUAUUUCAGAGGCAUUGGGGGUUGAUGAUGGGACAGAAGAGCUGAUGUGAGGAUGACACUAGCGUACCCAGCCUCAGGGAAAUCUUACAAGAAGGUCUUGAUACAGAAAAGCUACCGUGAAACUAUGCAGAACUAACAAAGGAAGCAGGGCAGAAUGCAGAAGCAGCCAAAUAAAGCGUGGGUAUAUAACACAGAAUGAGAAUGCUGAAGCUAAUCUACAGUGAAUUAUUAGGAUGUCAAUGGGAGGGAUUGGAGUUGUUAAAUGUGGAAUACCAAAGUGACAGGCUCACAAUUUAAACUCUGUAAUUACUGCCAUAUUUCACCUCAUCUGUUAAACACAAUUUAUAUAACAUGAUGCUUAUGAAUCCAUACUUACA